Mus musculus (house mouse) is the source of this 128-nucleotide non-coding RNA. The record is from Rfam. Lineage: Eukaryota; Metazoa; Chordata; Mammalia; Rodentia; Muridae.
GGUAGGUGGGUUUUUUGUUCAACUGGUAGACAUAAAAGGCAUGAAAAACAGGUGCAAAAAUGAAUAAUCUUUUGCAACCAAUAACUCAUUCUACAGUAUGAGUUUUGAUAUGUUUAAGAAGGAGUAUA